GAUGAAGAACGUAGCGAAAUGCGAUAAGUAGUGUGAAUUGCAGAAUUCAGUGAAUCAUCGAAUCUUUUAACGCACAUUGCGCCCCUUGGUAUUCCAUGGGGCAUGCCUGUUCGAGCGUCAUUUACACCCUCAAGCUCUGCUUGGUGUUGGGCGUCUGUCCCGCUGCUUUGCGCGGACUCGCCUCAAAGGUAUUGGCAGCGAUCAUGCCAGCUUCUCGCGCAGCACAUUGCGCUUCUUGAAGUUCUGGUGGAUCAGCGUCCAUUAAGCUUACCUUCAUGACUUGACCUCGGAUCAGGUAGGGAUACCCGCUGAACUUAAGCAUAUCAAUAAGCGGAGGA
Molecule: unclassified non-coding RNA, 338 nt
Filed under: soil metagenome
Description: partial contains 5.8S ribosomal RNA, internal transcribed spacer 2, and large subunit ribosomal RNA
Rfam family: 5.8S ribosomal RNA (bases 1-120)
Source: RNAcentral